RNAcentral lists this ribosomal RNA (253 nucleotides) under uncultured bacterium. Its description in RNAcentral is "partial 16S ribosomal RNA". It matches the Rfam family "Bacterial small subunit ribosomal RNA", at positions 524 to 776 of the family's 1533-position model. The record is from RNAcentral.
UACCGAGGUCUCAAGCGUUGUUCGGAUUCAUUGGGCGUAAAGGGUGCGUAGGUGGUGCCGUAAGUCGGAUGUGAAAUCUCGGGGCUCAACCCCGAAACUGCAUUCGAUACUGCGGUGCUCGAGGACUGGAGAGGAGACUGGAAUUCACGGUGUAGCAGUGAAAUGCGUAGAUAUCGUGAGGAAGACCAGUGGCGAAAGCGGGUCUCUGGACAGUUCCUGACACUGAUGCACGAAGGCCAGGGGAGCAAACGGG